GACAGGNGGACNNNCAUGCAAGUCGAGCGGAUGAAGGGAGCUUGCUCCUGGAUUCAGCGGCGGACGGGUGAGUAAUGCCUAGGAAUCUGCCUGGUAGUGGGGGAUAACGUCCGGAAACGGGCGCUAAUACCGCAUACGUCCUGAGGGAGAAAGUGGGGGAUCUUCGGACCUCACGCUAUCAGAUGAGCCUAGGUCGGAUUAGCUAGUUGGUGGGGUAAAGGCCUACCAAGGCGACGAUCCGUAACUGGUCUGAGAGGAUGAUCAGUCACACUGGAACUGAGACACGGUCCAGACUCCUACGGGAGGCAGCAGUGGGGAAUAUUGGACAAUGGGCGAAAGCCUGAUCCAGCCAUGCCGCGUGUGUGAAGAAGGUCUUCGGAUUGUAAAGCACUUUAAGUUGGGAGGAAGGGCAGUAAGUUAAUACCUUGCUGUUUUGACGUUACCAACAGAAUAAGCACCGGCUAACUUCGUGCCAGCAGCCGCGGUAAUACGAAGGGUGCAAGCGUUAAUCGGAAUUACUGGGCGUAAAGCGCGCGUAGGUGGUUCAGCAAGUUGGAUGUGAAAUCCCCGGGCUCAACCUGGGAACUGCAUCCAAAACUACUGAGCUAGAGUACGGUAGAGGGUGGUGGAAUUUCCUGUGUAGCGGUGAAAUGCGUAGAUAUAGGAAGGAACACCAGUGGCGAAGGCGACCACCUGGACUGAUACUGACACUGAGGUGCGAAAGCGUGGGGAGCAAACAGGAUUGGAUACCCUGGUAGUCCACGCCGUAAACGAUGUCGACUAGCCGUUGGGAUCCUUGAGAUCUUAGUNGGCGCAGCUAACGCGAUAAGUCGACCGCCUGGGAGNAGGGNCGCAAGGNNAANACUCNANNGANUUGACGGGGGCCCNNNCANGCNGUGGAGCANGUGGUUUAAUU
RNAcentral lists this ribosomal RNA (916 nucleotides) under Pseudomonas aeruginosa. RNAcentral describes it as "partial 16S ribosomal RNA". It matches the Rfam family "Bacterial small subunit ribosomal RNA", at positions 41 to 951 of the family's 1533-position model. Lineage: Bacteria; Pseudomonadati; Pseudomonadota; Gammaproteobacteria; Pseudomonadales; Pseudomonadaceae. The record is from RNAcentral.